AUCUACAGGCUUAACACAUGCAAGUCGAGGGGCAUCAGGAAGAAAGCUUGCUUUCUUUGCUGGCGACCGGCGCACGGGUGAGUAACACGUAUCCAACCUGCCCUUUACUCGGGGAUAGCCUUUCGAAAGAAAGAUUAAUACCCGAUAGCAUAAUGAUUCCGCAUGGUUUCAUUAUUAAAGGAUUCCGGUAAAGGAUGGGGAUGCGUUCCAUUAGGUUGUUGGUGAGGUAACGGCCCACCAAGCCUUCGAUGGAUAGGGGUUCUGAGAGGAAGGUCCCCCACAUUGGAACUGAGACACGGUCCAAACUCCUACGGGAGGCAGCAGUGAGGAAUAUUGGUCAAUGGGCGCUAGCCUGAACCAGCCAAGUAGCGUGAAGGAUGAAGGCUCUAUGGGUCGUAAACUUCUUUUAUAUAAGAAUAAAGUGCAGUAUGUAUACUGUUUUGUAUGUAUUAUAUGAAUAAGGAUCGGCUAACUCCGUGCCAGCAGCCGCGGUAAUACGGAGGAUCCGAGCGUUAUCCGGAUUUAUUGGGUUUAAAGGGAGCGUAGGUGGACUGGUAAGUCAGUUGUGAAAGUUUGCGGCUCAACCGUAAAAUUGCAGUUGAUACUGUCAGUCUUGAGUACAGUAGAGGUGGGCGGAAUUCGUGGUGUAGCGGUGAAAUGCUUAGAUAUCACGAAGAACUCCGAUUGCGAAGGCAGCUCACUGGACUGCAACUGACACUGAUGCUCGAAAGUGUGGGUAUCAAACAGGAUUAGAUACCCCUGGUAGUCCACACAGUAAACGAUGAAUACUCGCUGUUUGCGAUAUACAGUAAGCGGCCAAGCGAAAGCAUUAAGUAUUCCACCUGGGGAGUACGCCGGCAACGGUGAAACUCAAAGGAAUUGACGGGGGCCCGCACAAGCGGAGGAACAUGUGGUUUAAUUCGAUGAUACGCGAGGAACCUUACCCGGGCUUAAAUUGCAGUGGAAUGAUGUGGAAACAUGUCAGUGAGCAAUCACCGCUGUGAAGGUGCUGCAUGGUUGUCGUCAGCUCGUGCCGUGAGGUGUCGGCUUAAGUGCCAUAACGAGCGCAACCCUUAUCUUUAGUUACUAACAGGUUAUGCUGAGGACUCUAGAGAGACUGCCGUCGUAAGAUGUGAGGAAGGUGGGGAUGACGUCAAAUCAGCACGGCCCUUACGUCCGGGGCUACACACGUGUUACAAUGGGGGGGUACAGAAGGCAGCUAGCGGGUGACCGUAUGCUAAUCCCAAAAUCCUCUCUCAGUUCGGAUCGAAGUCUGCAACCCGACUUCGUGAAGCUGGAUUCGCUAGUAAUCGCGCAUCAGCCACGGCGCGGUGAAUACGUUCCCGGGCCUUGUACACACCGCCCGUCAAGCCAUGGGAGCCGGGGGUACCUGAAGUACGUAACCGCAAGGAUCGUCCUAGGGUAAAACUGGUGACUGGGGCUA
This 1444-nucleotide ribosomal RNA is filed under the name uncultured organism. Its description in RNAcentral is "SSU rRNA". It matches the Rfam family "Bacterial small subunit ribosomal RNA". The record is from RNAcentral.